Molecule: ribosomal RNA, 411 nt
Filed under: uncultured bacterium
Lineage: Bacteria
Description: bacterial SSU rRNA
Rfam family: Bacterial small subunit ribosomal RNA
Source: RNAcentral
GAACGAGAAAGUGGAGCAAUCCAUGAGUAAAGUGGCGACCGGGUGAGUAACACGUGACUAACCUACCUCCGAGUGGGGAAUAACUCCGGGAAACCGGAGCUAAUACCGCAUAACAUCGCAAGAUCAAAGCAGCAAUGCGCUUGGAGAGGGGGUCGCGGCUGAUUAGCUAGUUGGCGGGGUAACGGCCCACCAAGGCGAAGAUCGGUAUCCGGCCUGAGAGGGCGCACGGACACACUGGAACUGAAACACGGUCCAGACUCCUACGGGAGGCAGCAGUGGGGAAUUUUGCGCAAUGGGGGAAACCCUGACGCAGCAACGCCGCGUGGAGGAUGAAGCCCCUUGGGGCGUAAACUCCUUUCGACCAAGACGAUAAUGACGGUACUGGUGGAAGAAGCACCGGCUAACUCUGUG